UGCCGAUGAAACAUUUCAUAUCUUCAGU
This 28-nucleotide small RNA is filed under the name Bombyx mori (domestic silkworm). Its description in RNAcentral is "ovarian small RNA-33774". The record is from RNAcentral. Lineage: Eukaryota; Metazoa; Arthropoda; Insecta; Lepidoptera; Bombycidae.